UUAAGCGACUAAGCGUACACGGUGGAUGCCCUGGCAGUCAGAGGCGAUGAAGGACGUGCUAAUCUGCGAUAAGCGUCGGUAAGGUGAUAUGAACCGUUAUAACCGGCGAUUUCCGAAUGGGGAAACCCAGUGUGUUUCGACACACUAUCAUUACGUGAAUACAUAGCGUAAUGAAGCGAACCGGGGGAACUGAAACAUCUAAGUACCCCGAGGAAAAGAAAUCAACCGAGAUUCCCCCAGUAGCGGCGAGCGAACGGGGAGCAGCCCAGAGUCUGAAUCAGCUUGUGUGUUAGUGGAACGGUCUGGAAAGUCCGACGGUACAGGGUGAUAGUCCCGUACACCAAAAUGCACAGGCUGUGAACUCGAAGAGUAGGGCGGGACACGUGGUAUCCUGUCUGAAUAUGGGGGGACCAUCCUCCAAGGCUAAAUACUCCUGACUGACCGAUAGUGAACCAGUACCGUGAGGGAAAGGCGAAAAGAACCCCGGCGAGGGGAGUGAAAAAGAACCUGAAACCGUGUACGUACAAGCAGUGGGAGCACCUUCGGGUGUGACUGCGUACCUUUUGUAUAAUGGGUCAGCGACUUAUAUUCUGUAGCAAGGUUAACCGUAUAGGGGAGCCGCAGGGAAACCGAGUCUUAACUGGGCGUUAAGUUGCAGGGUAUAGACCCGAAACCCGGUGAUCUAGCCAUGGGCAGGUUGAAGGUUGGGUAACACUAACUGGAGGACCGAACCGACUAAUGUUGAAAAAUUAGCGGAUGACUUGUGGCUGGGGGUGAAAGGCCAAUCAAACCGGGAGAUAGCUGGUUCUCCCCGAAAGCUAUUUAGGUAGCGCCUCGUGAAUUCAUCUUCGGGGGUAGAGCACUGUUUCGGCUAGGGGGUCAUCCCGACUUACCAACCCGAUGCAAACUACGAAUACCGAAGAAUGUUAUCACGGGAGACACACGGCGGGUGCUAACGUCCGUCGUGAAGAGGGAAACAACCCAGACCGCCAGCUAAGGUCCCAAAGUCAUGGUUAAGUGGGAAACGAUGUGGGAAGGCACAGACAGCCAGGAUGUUGGCUUAGAAGCAGCCAUCAUUUAAAGAAAGCGUAAUAGCUCACUGGUCGAGUCGGCCUGCGCGGAAGAUGUAACGGGGCUAAACCAUGCACCGAAGCUGCGGCAGCGACACUAUGUGUUGUUGGGUAGGGGAGCGUUCUGUAAGCCUGCGAAGGUGACCUGUGAGGGUUGCUGGAGGUAUCAGAAGUGCGAAUGCUGACAUAAGUAACGAUAAAGCGGGUGAAAAGCCCGCUCGCCGGAAGACCAAGGGUUCCUGUCCAACGUUAAUCGGGGCAGGGUGAGUCGACCCCUAAGGCGAGGCCGAAAGGCGUAGUCGAUGGGAAACAGGUUAAUAUUCCUGUACUUGGUGUUACUGCGAAGGGGGGACGGAGAAGGCUAUGUUAGCCGGGCGACGGUUGUCCCGGUUUAAGCAUGUAGGCGGAGGUUCCAGGUAAAUCCGGUACCUUUUUAACGCUGAGGUGUGAUGACGAGGCACUACGGUGCUGAAGUAACAAAUGCCCUGCUUCCAGGAAAAGCCUCUAAGCAUCAGGUAACAUUAAAUCGUACCCCAAACCGACACAGGUGGUCAGGUAGAGAAUACCAAGGCGCUUGAGAGAACUCGGGUGAAGGAACUAGGCAAAAUGGUGCCGUAACUUCGGGAGAAGGCACGCUGAUAUGUAGGUGAAGCGGUUUACCCGUGGAGCUGAAAUCAGUCGAAGAUACCAGCUGGCUGCAACUGUUUAUUAAAAACACAGCACUGUGCAAACACGAAAGUGGACGUAUACGGUGUGACGCCUGCCCGGUGCCGGAAGGUUAAUUGAUGGGGUUAUCCGUAAGGAGAAGCUCUUGAUCGAAGCCCCGGUAAACGGCGGCCGUAACUAUAACGGUCCUAAGGUAGCGAAAUUCCUUGUCGGGU
RNAcentral lists this ribosomal RNA (1951 nucleotides) under human gut metagenome. RNAcentral's name for it is "bacterial LSU rRNA". It matches the Rfam family "Bacterial large subunit ribosomal RNA", at positions 1 to 1977 of the family's 2925-position model. The record is from RNAcentral.